CCUUUACUUUAACAUGGAGCCACUUGCUGUGAUUUUGUAAAAAUAAGUGCUUCCAUGUUUGAGUGUGG
Molecule: microRNA precursor, 68 nt
Filed under: Microtus ochrogaster (prairie vole)
Lineage: Eukaryota; Metazoa; Chordata; Mammalia; Rodentia; Cricetidae
Description: microRNA 302d (ENSMOCG00000004065.1)
Rfam family: mir-302 microRNA precursor family
Source: Rfam by way of RNAcentral